Molecule: ribosomal RNA, 460 nt
Filed under: uncultured bacterium
Lineage: Bacteria
Description: partial 16S ribosomal RNA
Rfam family: Bacterial small subunit ribosomal RNA
Source: RNAcentral
CCUACGGGAGGCAGCAGUGAGGAAUAUUGGUCAAUGGGCGUAAGCCUGAACCAGCCAAGUCGCGUGAGGGAUGAAGGUUCUAUGGAUCGUAAACCUCUUUUAUAAGGGAAUAAAGUGUGGGACGUGUCCUGUUUUGUAUGUACCUGAUGAAUAAGGAUCGGCUAACUCCGUGCCAGCAGCCGCGGUAAUACGGAGGAUCCGAGCGUUAUCCGGAUUUAUUGGGUUUAAGGGGUGCGUAGGCGGCGUUUUAAGUGAGCGGUGAAAGUCGGUGGCUCAACCAUAGAAUUGCCGUUGAAACUGGGAGGCUUGAGUAUGUGAGAGGCAGGCGGAAUGCGUGGUGUAGCGGUGAAAUGCUUAGAUAUCACGCAGAACACCGAUUGCGAAGGCAGCUUGCCAAGCCAUGACUGACGCUGAUGCACGAAAGCGUGGGGAUCAAACAGGAUUAGAUACCCCAGUAGUC